Molecule: ribosomal RNA, 322 nt
Filed under: uncultured eukaryote
Lineage: Eukaryota
Description: partial 18S ribosomal RNA
Rfam family: Eukaryotic small subunit ribosomal RNA
Source: RNAcentral
CCCUUAGAUGUUCUGGGCCGCACGCGCGCUACACUGACUGGUGCAACAAGUGUCUGACCUUGGCUCGAGAGGCCUGGGCAACCUUUGAACGCCAGUCGUGCUGGGGAUAGAUUCUUGCAAUUAUGGGUCUUCAACGAGGAAUUCCUAGUAAACGCAAGUCAUCAGCUUGCAUUGAUUACGUCCCUGCCCUUUGUACACACCGCCCGUCGCACCUACCGAUUGAAUGGUCCGGUGAAAUCUCGGGACGGCGGCUUGGUCGCUUGCGUCCGACUGCUGAAACUUGAUUAAACCAUAUCAUUUAGAGGAAGGUGAAGUCGUAACA